AUCAGACAAUGGUCCUGCCUUUCUAUCUCAAAGAACCCAUGAAGUUGGUACAGCUUUAAACAUCCAGUGGUACCUGCAUCCUCUGUAUCAUCCCCAGCCAGUCCUCAGGUAACAUACAAAAGGCUUACUCUGUGAUUAAAACCAAUGAACCAAACUUAGCCGAGAAGUCAGGGAGCCCCGGACUUCCUUAUCGCCCCUUGCUCUUAUAGGCAUCAGGGCUUUUUCCCUCAAGUUCCUUCUUUCCUGAGCCCUUUUGAACUUAUGCAUGGCAAGGUUCUUCCUCCUGGGAGACUUUCCAGUUAAAGAAUUCCUUCUUGGGGAUUAUAUACCUAUUUUAAAUAUGGCCAGACAUCUCCUCAGGGAACACGCAAACCAAAUACUCCCAAAACCCUACAUGGGAACAAUUUCCCCAAAGCCUAUCAAACCCAGAGACUAGGUUCUCUUAAAGCACCUAUAUCCUCCUGACCUCCAAACCACACUGGCCGGGUCCCUUUCAGGUCCUCUUAACCACUCCUAUGGUGGCUAAACUUGCUGGACACCCCCUUUGGUUUCAUUUCUCUAGGCUAAAACAAGUCUCCAACAGCACAUCAAGAGACUCGACACCCCCAAACUUUCCAGAAUACAACAGCUGCCUGGCUGGACCUACUCGACUCUGGCUGACCAAGAUUCCAGAAGAAUCAGCUAAUGAGGGAGCUCGUUACACCUGCUACUCUCCCUCUGUUCACCAGGUCACGACCAAUUAUUAAGGUCUUGACUAUUUUCUCUUCUCUACCUCAUUCUUCCUGGGACCCGAUUCCCUGGUGCCCCUCGGGCUGCCCCCGCCAAGCAAGAAAAGAGCCCCCCCCCCACCCCCGCUCUCUAGCUUGAUUGUCCUCCGUGAACAGACCAUACUGUCUUUGUUCUUCCUGCUUCAUUGUCCAAGAGUCUCCCACCCGAUAGGGGAAGUUACUCAUUUGGCUGAUGGGCCUUUCUGUUUCCAACAUAUACCCAACAACACCGGGCCCUUACCCCCAGGACACCUGCACAUGUCCUACCGCCACUACGCACUCAACGCCACUACAGGUACACGGAGCCCUAUAGGUCCCCACACGCCUGGCGGGGGACAUAAGGUAACACUGCUCUGGGGAAAAGUUCCAAAUGACAUCCCCGAAACUCAUCAACACCAUCCCUUCACCUUUAAUGACUCUGACCCUCUGCUCGUGGGGCUAACGGGUCCAACAGGACCGUCUCUCACUAAACCCACGGCUAAUGGAACUUUGACUUCCACCGGCCCCCAAAAGGACCUCUCUCAUCUUUCACUAUGAAAUCGACGCUGUCGGCACGCUCCAAGAGGAGAGAUAAAAAGACACCAAGACAAAAAAGCAGGCCGCCUCCAUACAGUCCUACGUCCAGAUCAGUAUUUUACAGGCGAUCACAGCUAUAAAGCCUCCACUGCGUCAUCCCUUUUUAUUAAGAAUGUGCUACUUCUUCUUAUGUGACAGUACGGCCGACCUAGUACUUCCAAGAUGCUGCUCAGGUGCAUGUAUUAUAGUUUCACUAGCGCCCAAUGCUCAAAUCCUACAACCUCAUGAAGUGGCUGCCUCGGAUUUAAUGCCCUUUCUAGGGUCAUUCUUAGCACAUGCUCUAAAAAGACCAAGACACAAAAUAGAGGUUAACCACCUACAAGGAUUCACUGCCCUCUGUCCUGGGACUCGACCCCAGACCCCGCCCUUGACCGUGCCCUCCUCCGUCUUUGUCAUUCCUGCCACAAGUUCCCUCCAGGAACUCCAGCCACCGCUUCUGGCCUCAGAUCCUUAUAAGCCCAGCACCUCCUCAGAGUCAGGGCUGGUGCCUUCUGGAGCUCAGCCUGACCCCCUCUGGUGCCUGAAGAAAUCUCUCUGGCUUUACCAACUUGGCCUUGCGUGUUCCUCCCUCGGCAAACCUAAGACUAGGCACUGAGCUGGUGAGUGUGGAGGCUGAGGCUGCCCCCUCCCAAUGACAGAAGGGACGGGUGACAGCGGCUUUUGCUUCUUUCCCCCGUGGAACAGAGGAUGGCCUCACUCUGAGACUAGCUAGUGGCAUGAUUAAGGUCAGGUUCCGCUGGAGACUGUUGAUAUUCUUGUGCCCCGAGGCUGGGAGCUGGAAUUCCAGGGACUGAAAGAGGGGCCAUCUGCCCAUCAAGCCAUGGAAGACAGGAAAGACUCCAAGCCAGGAGCUGUCUGUCCAUCGUUCUGUCGUUCAAAACAAGGCAGCCUCCCCCAUCCCUUCCUCCUUGAUCUACGACUUAGGGCGCUAAAGCCACCCCUGCAUCAUUAAAUGCUACCUGCUCUCACUCCGACCUACCCUUGUCCAAAUAUAAUUCACUAAUGAACACGUAGGCCAGGUGGACAAACAUUAAUAAAUUAUUCUCCCACUCCCAGUUUUCCUUUCAUUAAUGCUCUGGAACAUAAAAUCAAGUUCUGAAUAUGGAACAGCUUAUGGAAAACAUAAACUCACUCUUAGACUCUGUGUGUUGGAAAUAAAAGGUAUUUUUUCAUCAAAAGGAAUUGCUAAUUCAAAGCUGGGCUCAGUGUGCUGAACUUAAUCUGUUUGAAAUGCCACUUCUCUAAAGGACAUGGGCUGAUGUCUGGUAGAGAACAAAGCAGCCGUAUCAGCUUGUUCUGCAUGGGCUUUUUGAAAAGUCACACACCCUUGGAAAGACAUCAGGAUUGGAGAAGUCCACUGAGGCCCCCCAAAAAGAUGUUUGGGUCAGAUAUAUUUGAAAUUAGAAGAAUAGCUGACAGACAGUUAUCCUGGGGAAUGGAAUGAAUUGGUUCCAUUCCUUCAACUGCAUUUGCCACAAAUAUUAGUGGGUACCACCUGUGUACCCGGUGUUUUGUUUUAGGAAUGGAAUGUCUAAAAACGACUCAUAUGGGCGUUCCCAUCGUGGCACAGUAGAAACGAAUUUGACUAGGAACCUUGAGGUUGGGGGUUCAAUCCCUGGCCUCACUCAGUGGAUCAAGUAUCUGGCAUUGCCAAGAGCUGUGGUGUAGGUUGCAGAUGCGGCUUGGAUCUGGCAUUGCUGUGGCUGUGGUGUAGGCCGGCAGCUGUAGCUCCGAUUAGACCCUUAGCCUGGGAAUCUCCAUAUGCCACAGGUACAGCCC
RNAcentral lists this long non-coding RNA (3122 nucleotides) under Sus scrofa (pig). RNAcentral describes it as "lncRNA (ENSSSCG00000057460.1)". Lineage: Eukaryota; Metazoa; Chordata; Mammalia; Artiodactyla; Suidae. The record is from RNAcentral.